RNAcentral lists this ribosomal RNA (495 nucleotides) under uncultured bacterium. RNAcentral describes it as "partial 16S ribosomal RNA". It matches the Rfam family "Bacterial small subunit ribosomal RNA", at positions 28 to 507 of the family's 1533-position model. The record is from RNAcentral.
GACGAACGCUGGCGGCGUGCCUAAUACAUGCAAGUAGAACGCUGAAGGAGGAGCUUGCUUCUCUGGAUGAGUUGCGAACGGGUGAGUAACGCGUAGGUAACCUGCCUGGUAGCGGGGGAUAACUAUUGGAAACGAUAGCUAAUACCGCAUAACAGUAGAUAUCGCAUGAUAUCUACUUGAAAGGUGCAAUUGCAUCACUACCAGAUGGACCUGCGUUGUAUUAGCUAGUUGGUGAGGUAACGGCUCACCAAGGCGACGAUACAUAGCCGACCUGAGAGGGUGAUCGGCCACACUGGGACUGAGACACGGCCCAGACUCCUACGGGAGGCAGCAGUAGGGAAUCUGCGGCAAUGGACGGAAGUCUGACCGAGCAACGCCGCGUGAGUGAAGAAGGUUGUCGGAUCGUAAAGCUCUGUUGUAAGAGAAGAACGAGUGUGAGAGUGGAAAGUUCACACUGUGACGGUAUCUUACCAGAAAGGGACGGCUAACUACGUG